CGCAUCUGUGCAUGCAGCAUAUCAAUAAGCGGAGGAAAAGAAACUAACAAGGAUUCCCCUAGUAACGGCGAGUGAAGCGGGAAGAGCUCAAAUUUGAAAUCUUAAAGGGUUUCCCUUUACGAAUUGUAGUUUAAAGAAGUGUUUUCUGUUGAGGUUUUGGUAAAAGUUCUUUGGAAUAGGACAUCAUAGAGGGUGAGAAUCCCGUAUUUGACCUUUACUUUCAACUUUGUGAUACACUUUCAAAGAGUCGGAUUGUUUGGGAAUGCAGUCCAAAAUGGGUGGUAAAUUUCAUCUAAAGCUAAAUAUUGGCGAGAGACCGAUAGCGAACAAGUACCGUGAGGGAAAGAUGAAAAGAACUUUGAAAAGAGAGUUAAACAGUACGUGAAAUUGUCAAAAGGGAAGCGUUUGACACCAGUGUUGUUUUUCUGAAAAUCAAUUAAAGAACUGUUUAUGCUAAGCUGUUUAGACUUUAUCAGCUAACUGUUUAGUUUUGAGCUUUUCUUUAAUGCACUUUUCAGUUAACAAGUCAACAUCAAUUUCUUUCUGCUGUAAAAAAGCUUGAGGAAGGUGGCUUGAGAUUCGUCUUAAGUGUUUAUAGCCUCUUGCCUAUGCAGUCGGAGAGAUUGAGGUCUGCAGCGUAGAUCCUUCGGGGCUAAAUGCAUUUGUGCUAAGUUAUAGCAUUUUAUAGACAACUUGUUGACUAUGAUUUGUCUUGUAGCUUACUCGCUUAUGUUAUUUUACCUACGCUUAGGAUGUUGAACGCGCACAGAGUCUC
This 775-nucleotide ribosomal RNA is filed under the name uncultured Neocallimastigales. RNAcentral describes it as "partial large subunit ribosomal RNA". It matches the Rfam family "Eukaryotic large subunit ribosomal RNA", at positions 26 to 614 of the family's 3401-position model. Lineage: Eukaryota; Fungi; Neocallimastigomycota; Neocallimastigomycetes; Neocallimastigales. The record is from RNAcentral.